Molecule: unclassified non-coding RNA, 213 nt
Filed under: uncultured Rozellomycota
Lineage: Eukaryota; Fungi; Rozellomycota
Description: uncultured Cryptomycota sequence contains ITS2
Source: RNAcentral
AAACCCAUCCUACCAGUUAGGUAGGGAUAUGUCGAUCGAGCGUGCCCUGUGUAUAUUCAUCGAUUAAAAACAGUAGGUCUAGUCAGGCUGGUGGCCUGGGACAUUGUGUGCUAGAGACGUCGCUUCGGUUGACAGUCUUCUCACAGUGCGUCCCUUGCUGUACAAGCUAGUCUGGCGUGGGCCUCUACAGUCAUCGUAAGAUGACAACCUCCU